This is a long non-coding RNA of Gallus gallus (chicken), 591 nucleotides long. The record is from Ensembl. Lineage: Eukaryota; Metazoa; Chordata; Aves; Galliformes; Phasianidae.
CCUCAUUUAAGGACUGACAGCCACUCUUGAAGGAGCUCUGGUUGCAGUUUUCUCUUUUGUGGACUUUUCCCUGUGAGCCUAUAUCUUUAGAGACAGGGAGGCUCAGACUUUUCAGAGGAGAGGGAUGGGAGACCGAUGUAUUCAUAUGCAAUAGAAUCCUUCCCUCACAUGGCACAAGCUUGAACACAAUUGCAGCCCUCAUGCAGGCUGUGUUUGUGGAGGUGCCUGAAAGUAGAGAUAAAAACCUCCUGUGCUUUGUCUCUUUGAGGACAAGAGAUAAAUAGGUGAAUGAUGUCACUCCUCUUCUGUGACAGGUAACCACAUUCCUCUUUAUAAUACUGUCAAUCUCAUCUUAAAGACAGGAGGUGGCCCAAGCACAAACGGUGGCAUGAUGGGUUACCAAUCUCAACCAGAGGAGUAGUCUGUCUUCAUCACCACUGAAAGAAGAACUUCCAUAGAUCUUAGACCCAGUGACAUAUCACAGUGAUGCACUGAAAAAAAACAUUGGUUGAUCCACCUGAGAGGAGUCCCAAUCAGGAGGGGAAAUAUCCCUUUCCUGAAGAUGCCUGGUAUAUGGAUGGAUCCAGCGAG